GCCCAUUUGGCUCAGUGGAUAGAGCAUCAGCCUGUGGACUGAAGGGUCCUGGGUUUGAUUCCAGUCAAGGGCA
Molecule: transfer RNA, 73 nt
Filed under: Myotis davidii
Lineage: Eukaryota; Metazoa; Chordata; Mammalia; Chiroptera; Vespertilionidae
Rfam family: tRNA
About the family: Transfer RNA (tRNA) molecules are approximately 80 nucleotides in length. Their secondary structure includes four short double-helical elements and three loops (D, anti-codon, and T loops).
Source: Rfam by way of RNAcentral